AUUUGAGUCCCAAAUAGGACGAAACGCGCGUCGUGGAU
RNAcentral lists this non-coding RNA (38 nucleotides) under Schistosoma margrebowiei. Lineage: Eukaryota; Metazoa; Platyhelminthes; Trematoda; Strigeidida; Schistosomatidae. The record is from RNAcentral.